GACGAACGCUGGCGGCGUGCUUAACACAUGCAAGUGGAGCGACGAACCGGGCUUCGGCCCGGGGCAGAGCCGCGAACGGGUGAGUAACACGUGGGUCAUCUGCCCAGUUGACAGGGACAACCCGGGGAAACCCGGGCUAAUACCUGAUGUGCCCCUCGGGGGAAAGGAAGCUUCGGCCUCCGCAACUGGAUGAGCCCGCGGCGCAUUAGCUUGUUGGUGGGGUAAUGGCCUACCAAGGCGACGAUGCGUAGCUGGUCUGAGAGGACGAUCAGCCACACUGGGACUGAGACACGGCCCAGACUCCUACGGGAGGCAGCAGUGGGGAAUCUUGCGCAAUGCGCGAAAGCGUGACGCAGCAACGCCGCGUGAGGGAAGACGGCCUUCGGGUUGUAAACCUCUUUCAGUUGGGACGAAGCUUCGACGGUUAAUAGCCGGCUGGAGUGACGGUACCUUCAGAAGAAGCCCCGGCUAACUACGUGCCAGCCGCCGCCGUAACAC
Molecule: ribosomal RNA, 498 nt
Filed under: uncultured bacterium
Lineage: Bacteria
Description: bacterial SSU rRNA
Rfam family: Bacterial small subunit ribosomal RNA
Source: RNAcentral